UGACCUAGAACCGGACAGACGGAUCCCGA
Molecule: non-coding RNA, 29 nt
Filed under: Mus musculus (house mouse)
Lineage: Eukaryota; Metazoa; Chordata; Mammalia; Rodentia; Muridae
Source: RNAcentral